GUGAGGAAUUUUCCGCAAUGGGCGAAAGCCUGACGGAGCAAUGCCGCGUGAAGGAUGAAGGCCUAUGGGUUGUAAACUUCUUUUCUCAGAAAAGAAUUAUGACGGUAUCUGAUGAAUAAGCAUCGGCUAACUCUGUGCCAGCAGCCGCGGUAAGACAGAGGAUGCAAGCGUUAUCCGGAAUGAUUGGGCGUAAAGCGUCUGUAGGUUGUUUAAAAAGUAUUCUGUCAAAGAUUAGGGCUUAACCCUAGAUAGGCAGAAUAAACUUUUAAGCUAGAGUUUGGUAGAGGCAGAGGGAAUUCCCGGUGGAGCGGUGAAAUGCGUAGAUAUCGGGAGGAACACCAAAGGCGAAGGCACUCUGCUGGGCCAAUACUAACACUGAGAGACGAAAGCGAGGGGAGCAAAUGGGAUUAGAUACCCCUGUAGUCC
RNAcentral lists this ribosomal RNA (426 nucleotides) under uncultured bacterium. Its description in RNAcentral is "partial 16S ribosomal RNA". It matches the Rfam family "Bacterial small subunit ribosomal RNA", at positions 354 to 796 of the family's 1533-position model. The record is from RNAcentral.